UACGUAGGGGGCAAGCGUUGUCCGGAAUCAUUGGGCGUAAAGCGCGUGUAGGCGGUUCGGUAAGUCUGCUGUGAAAGUCCAGGGCUCAACCCUGGGAUGCCGGUGGAUACUGUCGGACUAGAGUACGGAAGAGGCGAGUGGAAUUCCCGGUGUAGCGGUGAAAUGCGCAGAUAUCAGGAAGAACACCCGUGGCGAAGGCGGCUCUCUGGGACGGUACUGACGCUGAGACGCGAAAGCGUGGGGAGCGAACAGG
Molecule: ribosomal RNA, 253 nt
Filed under: uncultured bacterium
Lineage: Bacteria
Description: partial 16S ribosomal RNA
Rfam family: Bacterial small subunit ribosomal RNA
Source: RNAcentral